RNAcentral lists this microRNA (22 nucleotides) under Callithrix jacchus (white-tufted-ear marmoset). Its description in RNAcentral is "cja-miR-513f-5p". Its record names the gene cja-miR-513d-5p. The record is from miRBase by way of RNAcentral. Lineage: Eukaryota; Metazoa; Chordata; Mammalia; Primates; Cebidae.
UUCGCAGGGAGGUGUCAUUCAU